CAGUAGCCGCGGUAAAACGUAUGGUGCGAGCGUUAAUCGGAAUUACUGGGCGUAAAGCGUGCGCAGGCGGUUCGUUAAGACAGAUGUGAAAUCCCCGGGCUUAACCUGGGAACUGCAUUUGUGACUGGCGAGCUAGAGUAUGGCAGAGGGGGGUAGAAUUCCACGUGUAGCAGUGAAAUGCGUAGAGAUGUGGAGGAAUACCGAUGGCGAAGGCAGCCCCCUGGGCCAAUACUGACGCUCAUGCACGAAAGCGUGGGGAGCAAACAGGAUUAGAUACCCGCGUAGUCCCUGUCUCUUAUAA
This 301-nucleotide ribosomal RNA is filed under the name uncultured bacterium. RNAcentral's name for it is "partial 16S ribosomal RNA". It matches the Rfam family "Bacterial small subunit ribosomal RNA", at positions 509 to 809 of the family's 1533-position model. The record is from RNAcentral.